This 304-nucleotide unclassified non-coding RNA is filed under the name uncultured Orbiliales. RNAcentral describes it as "sequence contains 5.8S rRNA gene, ITS2, 28S rRNA gene". The stretch from base 1 to 52 matches the Rfam family "5.8S ribosomal RNA", at positions 103 to 154 of the family's 154-position model. Lineage: Eukaryota; Fungi; Ascomycota; Orbiliomycetes; Orbiliales. The record is from RNAcentral.
AACGCACAUUGCGCCUGCUGGUAUUCCGGUAGGCAUGCCUGUUUGAGCGUCAGCAAAACCCCCUCAGCAAUCUAUUUUUUUUUUUUUUUUUUUUUUGCUGGUUAUGGGUACAGAGUGUAGCUUUAUACCAAGCCCCUCUUGCCUUAAAACUUGCUGCAUGACCGCAAGCUUAUACUGGGUUAAUGGAGUGGUGUUUACAAUAUUCCAGCUGCCUUGGUAUAGCGAGCGGCAUUAAACCUGAUGUUGCCUUCAGCUGCAACUGAAGUUUGACCUCAAAUCAGACAAGGAUACCCGCUGAACUUAA